UGAAUACGAGAUGCUACGGCGUCGAAGCAGUGUAUGUCAGACUUCCAAGAAAAGCUCGCAAUGUCAUAAAUAAAGAAUGCCUGUACCAUAACCGACACAGGUGGGUAGGUAGAGUAUACUAAGGGGCGCGAGAUAACUCUCUCUAAGGAACUCGGCAAAAUAACUCCGUAACUUCGGGAGAAGGAGUGCCUUCUUUAAGAAGGUUGCAAUAACAAGAUCCAAGCAACUGUUUAUCAAAAACACAGGUCUCCGCUAAGUCGUAAGACGAUGUAUGGGGGCUGACGCCUGCCCAGUGCCAGAAGGUUAAAGAAGUUGGUUAGCUUUUGCGAAGCUGAUGACUGAAGCCCUGGUGAACGGCGGCCGUAACAAUAACGGUCCUAAGGUAGCGAAAUUCCUUGUCGGGUAAGUUCCGACCCGCACGAAAGGCGUAAUGAUUUGGAUACUGUCUCGGAGAGGGACUCGGUGAAAUAGACUUGUCUGUGAAGAUGCGGACUACCUGCACCAGGACAGAAAAACCCUAUGAAGCUUUACUGUAACUUGAAAUUGAAAUUGGACUUUAUUUGCGCAGUAUAGGUGGAAGGCGUUGAAAGUAAUCUUGCGGGAUUAGUGGAGCCAUCAGUGAGAUACCACUCCUAUAAUGUUAGAUUUCUAACUUUGGAUCAUGAUCUGGUCAAAGAACAGUUUCAGGCGGGCAGUUUGACUGGGGCGGUCGCCUCCCAAAUGGUAACGGAGGCGUACAAAGGUUUCCUCUGAACGGGUAGAAAUCGUAUCUAGAGUGUAAAGGCAUAAGGAAGCUUGACUGUGAGACCUACAAGUCGAGCAGGGACGAAAGUCGGUCUUAGUGAUCUGACGGUGCUGAGUGGAAAGGCCGUCACUCAACGGAUAAAAGUUACUCUAGGAUAACAGGCUGAUCUCCCCCAAGAGUUCACAUCGACGGGGAGGUUUGGCACCUCGAUGUCGGCUCAUCGCAUCCUGGGGCGGUAGUACGUCCCAAGGGUUGGGCUGUUCGCCCAUGAAAGCGGUACGCGAGCUGGGUUCAGAACGUCGUGAGACAGUUCCAUAUCCGGUGUAGGCGUUAGAAUAUUGAGAGGAGCCUUCUUUAGUACGAGAGGACCGAGAAGGACAUACCUCUGGUGUACCAGUUAUCGUGCCAACGGUAAACGCUGGGUAGCUAUGUAUGGAGAGGAUAACCGCUGAAAGCAUCUAAGUGGGAAGCCCACCUCAAGAUGAGUAUUCUCAUC
RNAcentral lists this ribosomal RNA (1241 nucleotides) under metagenome. RNAcentral describes it as "bacterial LSU rRNA". It matches the Rfam family "Bacterial large subunit ribosomal RNA", at positions 1564 to 2818 of the family's 2925-position model. The record is from RNAcentral.